This 513-nucleotide ribosomal RNA is filed under the name uncultured bacterium. RNAcentral's name for it is "bacterial SSU rRNA". It matches the Rfam family "Bacterial small subunit ribosomal RNA", at positions 353 to 883 of the family's 1533-position model. The record is from RNAcentral.
AGUGGGGAAUAUUGCACAAUGGAGGNAACUCUGAUGCAGCAACGCCGCGUGGAGGAUGACACAUUUCGGUGCGUAAACUCCUUUUAUAUAAGAAGAUAAUGACGGUAUUAUAUGAAUAAGCUCCGGCUAACUCCGUGCCAGCAGCCGCGGUAAUACGGGGGGAGCAAGCGUUACUCGGAAUCACUGGGCGUAAAGAGCAUGUAGGCUGAUAGAUAAGUUGGAAGUGAAAUCCUGUGGCUUAACCAUAGAACUGCUUCCAAAACUGUCUAUCUAGAGUAUGGGAGAGGUAGAUGGAAUUUCUGGUGUAGGGGUAAAAUCCGUAGAGAUCAGAAGGAAUACCGAUUGCGAAGGCGAUCUACUGGAACAUUACUGACGCUCAGAUGCGAAAGCGUGGGGAGCAAACAGGAUUAGAUACCCUGGUAGUCCACGCCCUAAACGAUGCACACUAGUUGUUGCUAUACUAGAUAUGGCAGUAAUGCAGUUAACACAUUAAGUGUGCCGCCUGGGGAGUAC